CCUACGGGCGGCAGCAGUGGGGAAUAUUGGACAAUGGGCGAAAGCCUGAUCCAGCCAUGCCGCGUGUGUGAAGAAGGCCUUCGGGUUGUAAAGCACUUUCAGUGGGGAAGAAAGCCUUGGGGCUAAUACCCUCGAGGAAGGACAUCACCCACAGAAGAAGCACCGGCUAACUCCGUGCCUGCAGCCGCGGUAAUACGGAGGGUGCGAGCGUUAAUCGGAAUUACUGGGCGUAAAGCGCGCGUAGGCGGUCUGAUAAGCCGGUUGUGAAAGCCCCGGGCUCAACCUGGGAACGGCAUCCGGAACUGUCAGGCUAGAGUGCAGGAGAGGAAGGUAGAAUUCCCGGUGUAGCGGUGAAAUGCGUAGAGAUCGGGAGGAAUACCAGUGGCGAAGGCGGCCUUCUGGACUGACACUGACGCUGAGGUGCGAAAGCGUGGGUAGCAAACAGGAUUAGAUACCCCAGUAGUC
RNAcentral lists this ribosomal RNA (465 nucleotides) under Vreelandella stevensii. RNAcentral describes it as "partial 16S ribosomal RNA". It matches the Rfam family "Bacterial small subunit ribosomal RNA", at positions 338 to 795 of the family's 1533-position model. The record is from RNAcentral. Lineage: Bacteria; Pseudomonadati; Pseudomonadota; Gammaproteobacteria; Oceanospirillales; Halomonadaceae.